UCCUGACCGGUAGUCGUAUGCUCGUCUCCGAGACUAAGCCAUGCAAGUCCAAGUACACGGUCCUUGAACGACGGAAACUGCGAACGGCUCAUUAAAUCAGUUGCGAUCUACUCGGCGUUCCGCGCCGCCGGAUAACCGUAGUAAUUCUAGGGCUAAUACGUGCGAAGCGCCCGAAGCCGCGAGGCGACGGGCGUUCUCGCCGGAUGUAGGAACCGACCCGGGGACCGCCGGGGCAACCCGGCGCCCCCGAGACGGGGCGAACCACGGUGAAAUGACGGAUCGUCGGCCCCGCGCCGGCGACUCGCCGAAUGAGUUUCUGACCUAUCAACUCGAGACGGCGGGGUAGAGGCCCGCCGCGGUAACGACGGGUAACGGGGAAUCAGGGUUCGAUUCCGGAGAGGGGAGCCCCGAGAAACGGCUACCACUUCCAAGG
Molecule: ribosomal RNA, 433 nt
Filed under: uncultured eukaryote
Lineage: Eukaryota
Description: bacterial SSU rRNA
Rfam family: Eukaryotic small subunit ribosomal RNA
Source: RNAcentral